GAUGAAGAACGCAGCGAAAUGCGAUAAGUAAUGUGAAUUGCAGAAUUCAGUGAAUCAUCGAAUCUUUGAACGCACAUUGCGCCCGCCAGUAUUCUGGCGGGCACGCCUGUCUGAGCGUCAUUUCAACCCUCAUGCCCCUAGGGCGUGGUGUUGGGGAUCGGCCAAAGCCCGCGAGGGACGGCCGGCCCCUAAAUCUAGUGGCGGACCCGUCGUGGCCUCCUCUGCGAAGUAGUGAUAUUCCGCAUCGGAGAGCGAUGAGCCCCUGCCGUUAAACCCCCAACUUUCCAAGGUUGACCUCAGAUCAGGUAGGAAUACCCGCUGAACUUAAGCAUAUCAAUAAGCGGAGGA
This 348-nucleotide unclassified non-coding RNA is filed under the name soil metagenome. Its description in RNAcentral is "partial contains 5.8S ribosomal RNA, internal transcribed spacer 2, and large subunit ribosomal RNA". The stretch from base 1 to 120 matches the Rfam family "5.8S ribosomal RNA", at positions 35 to 154 of the family's 154-position model. The record is from RNAcentral.